RNAcentral lists this ribosomal RNA (253 nucleotides) under uncultured bacterium. Its description in RNAcentral is "partial 16S ribosomal RNA". It matches the Rfam family "Bacterial small subunit ribosomal RNA", at positions 524 to 776 of the family's 1533-position model. The record is from RNAcentral.
UACAGAGGUCUCAAGCGUUGUUCGGAUUCAUUGGGCGUAAAGGGUGCGUAGGCGGCGCGGUAAGUCGGGUGUGAAAUCCCUCAGCUUAACUGGGGAACUGCGUCUGAUACUGGUUGGCUUGAGUGCAGGAGAGGAACGCGGAAUUCCAGGUGUAGCGGUGAAAUGCGUAGAUAUCUGGAGGAACACCGGUGGCGAAGGCGGCGUUCUGGACUGCAACUGACACUGAAAGACGAAAGCCAGGGGAGCAAACGGG